UGACUGCUCAGGAGCCCCCUGUUUGGCUGUUGCCAUGCCAGCACCAAACACCAAAGGAAAGCAUCCAAACCCAUCUCUCAUUUUCAUUAAGAUGCAAAUGAAGUUAUUCCCCUCAACACUGGGCUGUCUUUGGAAUCGGAUGGGCUAGUCAAACUGACAAGCAAACUGAAGAUGCAAAACAGGUUACAACAGUGCCAGAGGCUGAAAACAGCCUGCAGAGGGCCUGGACGCCAGCCUGAGGCUUACAGGGAGGACUCUUCCUUCAAAGCCCACCAAGGUGUCCUGGAGCACCACACCUGCAGUCUGAUCUUUCGUUAACACUUCCAGACAGUCGUCACCUCCCGCACUUACGGAUACCCCCAGACUGAAUACCAGCCAUCCAUCCGCCCUCCCACCCAUUCAACAUGAUCAAUGUAAUGAGAGAAGUGGUAUUACUAUCCCCACUUCACAGAUGAGAAAACUGAGGCAGACAGAGGUCAAGCACGUGACCUAAGUUCCCACAGCUGGGUUGAGCUGGGACUUGAACCAAGAAAGCCUGAGUCUGGAGUCCUCACCUUGAUCUCAAGACGCUGCCUCUUCAAGUGAUUUGGGAUCACUCCCCUCAAAUCUGGGAUCAUGGGAAUUAUGGCUAACUCUGCAAUCUUCAUUCCAAAGUCUCACACUAAAAAUUUACUUUGUAGCCAAAAAGUUACAUUAAAUAUUGUUGUAGUUUUGUUCGGAAUGUUGUUAAACAUUCACCAGGUUUGUCUGUUUCAGUUUUGGGUCAUUUCACAAUUCAAACCCAGAUUCCACUUAUCCUGUCUCAGUUGCUUAGCCCCCGAAGUAGAGACGCUCGGUUGGUUUUUCAGUGGACAUCAAGUCUCUGAUUUACACAU
Molecule: long non-coding RNA, 875 nt
Organism: Mustela lutreola (European mink)
Lineage: Eukaryota; Metazoa; Chordata; Mammalia; Carnivora; Mustelidae
Exons: 3
Source: RefSeq, a predicted model, not a curated record